GCAGGGCAAAUGUAACCAAUUUAUUAAUGUUAAAAAAAAACCAAUGUGUGAAAUUGGACCAAGAGGAGAGGGGCCAGCUGCCCCCUUCUUCCCACUCCGAGCUCUUUGCCAGUGGCAGGAGGAGGGUGAGGUACAAAGGAUUCCGUCCUUUGCAGGAAGGCAUUGCUAUCCUAAUCGCAUGUGAUAGCGACAACAAAUCCACUGGGCCAGAGCUUCAAAGGGCUGGGAGAUAAUUGCAUCCAUCAUCCCCAGCCUGUGGCUGUGAUGCCUGCAGCUUAGAGGGUGUGAAGCGCUGGUUAAGAAGCUGAGGAAGCUGCUCUUCCUGUCUGCUCCAUCUAUUCCCUAUCCUCACCGUGGAGACCAGGUGGUCACGGAUCCGGUUGUGUCCCCACGGAGACUGCUGUCACAGCCUUUUCCUGUCGAUGUUUAUAGCUAUUUUCACUUCCGGUCUAGCAAAGGAGACGGUGUCUUCAGUGUACGUUCCUAUUGCCAUAGAUUUACCCUCUAACAGUUCUGAAAAGUGAGACAGGUUUGCCGUCCCUCUACUGUAGCAGUGAAAGACCCUCAAUGACUUGGAAAUUGAGAUGUCAUCUGAAAAUCUGCCCAUCUCUCUCUGGACAAGCCACAGUUCAGUCACUUGUGGUGGCUACUACACAGCAAACAGCACAGCUCCACAGAUGCCUACCUUCACUGGUCAGUGCCACCAGCUAACAUCUGAACAGCCUUUACAAGGAAUCCUUAUUGUCAUUAGGUCAUUUGUAAUGGCCAUGUUGUGCUGGGGAACAAAGCUUGAAGAAAGAGAAAGCUCACCGAGAGAAACGAAGGCAGUUCUUUCACUAGAAGAAGACAGGGCUCUCACCCCAUUCCUCCUAUCUGACCUCAGUCCUUGAUAGAAACCAGAAAUGGUGAAAUUGAUAUUUUCUGAAUGGAAAAGAAAACACGAGGUUAUUUUAAGUGCAUAAAAUUAAGUAUAGGUUUCAAACAAUGAAUUAAGGGUGUAUUGUGAUAACUGAAUUAUGGGAUAUGACAAGUGAAACGAACAAAAGGAUACUUGAGAAGCGUAUGAAAGCUUACUCCUUUUGAGUAUCAAGUAAAAGUCUACUUCUCAGAUGAGAUUACCAGGGAUUGUAACUUAAGAAUUAAAAUGCACUCAACUAUAUUUUAAAUUUUUUGUUUGAUUUUAAAUAAACAUUCACUUGGUUAAGAAAAUAUCUAAAGCUAUGUUUCAUAUGAAUACCACUUUUAAAGAAUUAGAUACAAGUUUACUUAUACUUGAAUCUCAUGGUGACUUUCAGAAGUUUUUUUUUAUUAGAAAAGCAAAAGGCAAAAGACAGGCAACUUUCGGGAUAUAUAAUUUAGGUAGAGAGAAAGUCAGCCUGUUAACAUAGAGUUGAUGAUAUUUGGGAGAAAAAAAUCAGAAAAUUUAAGUGUUUAUAACCAAAAUCUAUAAAACAUUUUUAAGAGUUUUUUACUUUUAAAUAUUAAAAUCUGUAGUUAUGUUUAUUAUCCUCUCAUAUCUUAACUAAGAAAAUAUCAGGUACUAGAUUCAGAUUCUUCAGGAUAGGACAGAUAUUGGAGUAAUCUCUAUAAUUUAUCAUUUACCUAUGGUCUGGACAUUUAAUAUGUGUUUCUUACUUGAUGUUGUUCUUAUUGUUGUAGUUCCACUUUUGCUUAUGUUAUUACCUUUUCUUUCUCCUGGACAAUACUUGAUAAUCAUUCUUAUUGUAUAUAGUUUUGUAUUAGGUUUAUAACCUUCUUAUUUAGACACAAAGGGGGAGGUAAACUGGUUAUUUGUUCCACUAUCUGGCCUGAUAGUGUCCGUGCUUCUAUCUGAGGAUGUGAACUCUUAAAAAGAAAGAAGGGAGGAGAUUGCACUCUCCUGGGUGGUGAAGACUAGGUCAGGCAGCAGAAAGCAGGUGUGAUCAGUCCCCAGUUUUCCAAGGACUUUGCAACUGGAUUUACCAUAUCCUGUAUUUUUCCCUGUUUAGUAUCUAAAUAAAUCCUUA
Molecule: long non-coding RNA, 2006 nt
Organism: Mesocricetus auratus (golden hamster)
Lineage: Eukaryota; Metazoa; Chordata; Mammalia; Rodentia; Cricetidae
Exons: 4
Source: RefSeq, a predicted model, not a curated record